GAUGAACGCUGGCGGCGUGCCUAAUACAUGCAAGUCGAGCGAACAGAUGAGUAGCUUGCUCCUCUGACGUUAGCGGCGGACGGGUGAGUAACACGUGGAUAACCUACCUAUAAGACUGGGAUAACUUCGGGAAACCGGAGCUAAUACCGGAUAAUAUAUUGAACCGCAUGGUUCAAUAGUGAAAGACGGUUUUGCUGUCACUUAUAUAUGUAUCCGCGCCGCAUUAGCUAGUUGGUAAGGUAACGGCUUACCAAGGCGACGAUGCGUAGCCGACCUGAGAGGGUGAUCGGCCACACUGGAACUGAGACACGGUCCAGACUCCUACGGGAGGCAGCAGUAGGGAAUCUUCCGCAAUGGGCGAAAGCCUGACGGAGCAACGCCGCGUGAGUGAUGAAGGUCUUCGGAUCGUAAAACUCUGUUAUUAGGGAAGAACAAAUGUGUAAGUAACUAUGCACGUCUUGACGGUACCUAAUCAGAAAGCCACGGCUAACUACGUG
This 497-nucleotide ribosomal RNA is filed under the name uncultured bacterium. RNAcentral's name for it is "partial 16S ribosomal RNA". It matches the Rfam family "Bacterial small subunit ribosomal RNA", at positions 28 to 507 of the family's 1533-position model. The record is from RNAcentral.